RNAcentral lists this unclassified non-coding RNA (317 nucleotides) under Hevea brasiliensis (rubber tree). Lineage: Eukaryota; Viridiplantae; Streptophyta; Magnoliopsida; Malpighiales; Euphorbiaceae. The record is from RNAcentral.
GGUGAACAAUGCACACAUCCAUCCAGAAUCCAGAAAAUCAGCUAAGAAAGAAACCAUGAACACACGCUAUGUGGUUCAUAGAGCAGUGCGCACAUCUCUUUAGUAGCAUCAAUCAGAUAUCUCAUUAUAAGGUACUUUCUGAUAACAAAUAAGCCCAUGUUCAGCCCCCAUGCUUAAACAGUUUUAGAUAUGCUACAAUUUCUGAGCAAGCUAGAAGUGAGAAAUUUCCCUUGCAAACAAAAAGCAAGUGAUAAAAAGCGCACUUCGUUUUUUUUAAUGGAUGUCCAUUGCCCCCCUAUAGUUGCAAGGUAAAAAAC